UACGUAGGGUGCGAGCGUUAAUCGGAAUUACUGGGCGUAAAGGGCGCGUAGGCGGUCCCGUCAGUCCCUUGUGAAAUCCCCCGGCUCAACUGGGGAACUGCAAGGGAUACAGCGGGGCUUGAGUUCGGGAGAGGGAAGCGGAAUUCCGGGUGUAGCGGUGAAAUGCGUAGAUAUCUGGAGGAAUACCGGUGGCGAAGGCGGCAUCCUGGACCGGCAUUGACGCUGAGGAGCGAAAGCCAGGGGAGCAAACGGG
RNAcentral lists this ribosomal RNA (253 nucleotides) under uncultured bacterium. Its description in RNAcentral is "partial 16S ribosomal RNA". It matches the Rfam family "Bacterial small subunit ribosomal RNA", at positions 524 to 776 of the family's 1533-position model. The record is from RNAcentral.